GUGAGGAAUAUUGGUCAAUGGGCGAGAGCCUGAACCAGCCAAGUCGCGUGAAGGAAGAAGUAUCUAUGGUUCGUAAACUUCUUUUGCAGGGGAAUAAAGUGCAGGACGUGUCCUGUUUUGUAUGUACCCUGAGAAUAAGGAUCGGCUAACUCCGUGCCAGCAGCCGCGGUAAUACGGAGGAUCCGAGCGUUAUCCGGAUUUAUUGGGUUUAAAGGGUGCGUAGGUGGUUUGAUAAGUCAGCGGUGAAAGUUUGCAGCUUAACUGUAAAAAUGCCGUUGAAACUGUCGGACUUGAGUGUAGAUGAGGUAGGCGGAAUGCGUGGUGUAGCGGUGAAAUGCAUAGAUAUCACGCAGAACUCCGAUUGCGAAGGCAGCUUACUAAGCUACAACUGACACUGAAGCACGAAAGCGUGGGGAUCAAACAGGAUUAGAUACCCGAGUAGUCC
This 445-nucleotide ribosomal RNA is filed under the name uncultured bacterium. RNAcentral's name for it is "partial 16S ribosomal RNA". It matches the Rfam family "Bacterial small subunit ribosomal RNA", at positions 354 to 796 of the family's 1533-position model. The record is from RNAcentral.